This 1453-nucleotide ribosomal RNA is filed under the name Luteibaculum oceani. RNAcentral describes it as "16S ribosomal RNA". It matches the Rfam family "Bacterial small subunit ribosomal RNA". Lineage: Bacteria; Pseudomonadati; Bacteroidota; Flavobacteriia; Flavobacteriales; Luteibaculaceae. The record is from RNAcentral.
GGCUCAGAAUGAACGCUAGCGGCAGGCCUAACACAUGCAAGUCGAACGGUAACAGGGAUUGCUUGCAAUCCGCUGACGAGUGGCGCACGGGUGCGUAACGCGUAUGCAACCUACCUUUUACAGGGGGAUAGCCCAGAGAAAUUUGGAUUAAUACCCCAUAACAUUGCGACAACACAUGUUGAUGCAAUUAAAACUUCGGUGGUAAAAGAUGGGCAUGCGUUCUAUUAGCUAGUUGGUAAGGUAACGGCUUACCAAGGUUACGAUAGAUAGGGGUUCUGAGAGGAUGAUCCCCCACACUGGUACUGAGACACGGACCAGACUCCUACGGGAGGCAGCAGUGAGGAAUAUUGGUCAAUGGGCGAGAGCCUGAACCAGCCAUGCCGCGUGUAGGAAGACUGCCCUAUGGGUUGUAAACUACUUUUGUAUAGGAAUAAACCUUGGUACGUGUACCGAGCUGAAUGUACUAUACGAAUAAGGACCGGCUAACUCCGUGCCAGCAGCCGCGGUAAUACGGAGGGUCCAAGCGUUAUCCGGAAUUAUUGGGUUUAAAGGGUCCGUAGGCGGGAUAAUAAGUCAGUGGUGAAAUCCUAUAGCUUAACUAUAGAACUGCCAUUGAUACUGUUGUCCUUGAGUUUGCGUGGAGUAGGCGGAAUGUGACAUGUAGCGGUGAAAUGCAUAUAUAUGUCACAGAACACCGAUUGCGAAGGCAGCUUACUAAAGCAACACUGACGCUGAUGGACGAAAGCGUGGGGAGCGAACAGGAUUAGAUACCCUGGUAGUCCACGCAGUAAACGAUGAUUACUAGAUAUUUGCGAUAUACGGUAAGUGUCAUAGCGAAAGCGUUAAGUAAUCCACCUGGGGAGUACGGUCGCAAGAUUGAAACUCAAAGGAAUUGACGGGGGCCCGCACAAGCGGUGGAGCAUGUGGUUUAAUUCGAUGAUACGCGAGGAACCUUACCAGGGCUUAAAUGCAGAGUGACGGAUUGUGAAAGCAGUCUUUCUUCGGACACUUUGCAAGGUGCUGCAUGGUUGUCGUCAGCUCGUGCCGUGAGGUGUUGGGUUAAGUCCCGCAACGAGCGCAACCCCUAUUUCUAGUUGCCAGCAUUUCGGAUGGGGACUCUAGAGAAACUGCCAGCGCAAGCUGUGAGGAAGGUGGGGAUGACGUCAAAUCAUCACGGCCCUUACGUCCUGGGCCACACACGUGCUACAAUGGCAGGUACAGAGGGCAGCUACAUAGCGAUAUGAUGCGAAUCUCAAAAGCCUGUCUCAGUUCGGAUCGUAGUCUGCAACUCGACUACGUGAAGCUGGAAUCGCUAGUAAUCGCGUAUCAGCCAUGACGCGGUGAAUACGUUCCCGGGCCUUGUACACACCGCCCGUCAAGCCAUGGAAGCUGGGGGUGCCUGAAGUCGGUAACCGCAAGGAGCUGCCUAGGGCAAAACUAGUAACUGGGGCUA